Molecule: transfer RNA, 88 nt
Filed under: Zetaproteobacteria bacterium
Lineage: Bacteria; Pseudomonadati; Pseudomonadota; Candidatius Mariprofundia
Description: tRNA-Ser
Rfam family: tRNA
About the family: Transfer RNA (tRNA) molecules are approximately 80 nucleotides in length. Their secondary structure includes four short double-helical elements and three loops (D, anti-codon, and T loops).
Source: RNAcentral
GGAGAGAUGYCAGAGUGGCCGAAUGAGCACGCUUGGAAAGCGUGUGUACAGCAAUGUACCGAGGGUUCGAAUCCCUCUCUCUCCGCCA